CAGCCGCCGCGGUAAUACGUAGGGUGCAAGCGUUAAUCGGAAUUACUGGGCGUAAAGCGUGCGCAGGCGGUUUGUUAAGACAGAUGUGAAAUCCCCGGGCUCAACCUGGGAACUGCAUUUGUGACUGGCAAGCUAGAGUCUGGCAGAGGGGGGUGGAAUUCCGCGUGUAGCAGUGAAAUGCGUAGAUAUGCGGAGGAACACCGAUGGCGAAGGCAGCCCCCUGGGCCAACACUGACGCUCAUGCACGAAAGCGUGGGGAGCAAACAGGAUUAGAUACCCGCGUAGUCCCUGUCUCUUAUAC
Molecule: ribosomal RNA, 301 nt
Filed under: uncultured bacterium
Lineage: Bacteria
Description: partial 16S ribosomal RNA
Rfam family: Bacterial small subunit ribosomal RNA
Source: RNAcentral